Long non-coding RNA from Telopea speciosissima, 234 nucleotides. RefSeq lists it as uncharacterized. The record is from RefSeq and is a predicted model, not a curated record. The transcript is spliced from 3 exons. NCBI's taxonomy places the organism in Eukaryota, Viridiplantae, Streptophyta, Magnoliopsida, Proteales, Proteaceae.
UUUCCGAGACUACGUAGACAUUUGCUUUGAUCGAUUGGGGAAGUAUGUGAAGUAUUGGAUCACCUUUAACGAGCCAUAUGAAUUCAUCACUUUUGGAUAUGUUGAUGGCGUCUCUCCUCCUGUCAAUUUGGAGGAUCCUGGGAUAAACCCAUAUAUAGUGGCCCACAACUUGCUCCGUGCUCAUGCAGCUGCAGUGGAUCUCUACAGGAACAACUACCAGGACUUCCAAGGAGG